AUUGAACGCUGGCGGCAUGCCUUACACAUGCAAGUCGAACGGCAGCACGGGAGCAAUCCUGGUGGCGAGUGGCGAACGGGUGAGUAAUAUAUCGGAACGUGCCCAGUCGUGGGGAUAACGUAGCGAAAGCUACGCUAAUACCGCAUACGAUCUAUGGAUGAAAGCGGGGGAUCGCAAGACCUCGCGCGAUUGGAGCGGCCGAUAUCAGAUUAGGUAGUUGGUGAGGUAAAGGCUCACCAAGCCGACGAUCUGUAGCUGGUCUGAGAGGACGACCAGCCACACUGGGACUGAGACACGGCCCAGACUCCUACGGGAGGCAGCAGUGGGGAAUUUUGGACAAUGGGCGCAAGCCUGAUCCAGCAAUGCCGCGUGCAGGAUGAAGGCCUGGUGUUAACGUAGUACGUUUGUUACGGUAACGG
This 419-nucleotide ribosomal RNA is filed under the name uncultured bacterium. RNAcentral describes it as "bacterial SSU rRNA". It matches the Rfam family "Bacterial small subunit ribosomal RNA", at positions 30 to 454 of the family's 1533-position model. The record is from RNAcentral.